CCUACGGGAGGCAGCAGUGGGGAAUAUUGCACAAUGGGGGAACCCCUGAUGCAGCGACGCCGCGUGAGUGCAGAAGUAUUUCGGUAUGUAAAGCUCUAUCAGCAGGGAAGAAAAUGACGGUACCUGAUUAAGAAGCCCCGGCUAACUACGUGCCAGCAGCCGCGGGAAUACGUAGGGGGCAAGCGUUAUCCGGAUUUACUGGGUGUAAAGGGAGCGUAGACGGCAGCACAAGUCUGGAGUGAAAUGCCGGGGCUUAACCCCGGAACUGCUUUGGAAACUGUGCAGCUAGAGUGCAGGAGAGGUAAGUGGAAUUCCUAGUGUAGCGGUGAAAUGCGUAGAUAUUAGGAGGAACACCAGUGGCGAAGGCGGCUUACUGGACUGUAACUGACGUUGAGGCUCGAAAGCGUGGGGAGCAAACAGGAUUAGAUACCCCAGUAGUC
Molecule: ribosomal RNA, 440 nt
Filed under: uncultured bacterium
Lineage: Bacteria
Description: partial 16S ribosomal RNA
Rfam family: Bacterial small subunit ribosomal RNA
Source: RNAcentral